AUGCAAGGUAAAAUAGUAAUUAGCAUGCUUGAUAUUUCAGCAAACCACACCUUUCCAUUCCAGAUUGUUCUAGAUCUUUUUCCUCUACUUCCAGAUUAUUAUUAUUAACAAUUGCUAAGGCCUUAGAGCCAAAAUGAUGGAUCAUCUCCCUCAAAUCUCUUCUUCUCCUAACGGUUCAAAGCUUAUGGGUUACGAGUUAAAUUAACUAUACUGUUGAAAAUCCCAAUUUGAAAUACACGACAUAUAAGAGGAAGAGAGCUGAUAAAGCAUAAGCCCCAAAUAUUUAUGAAAGUUAUCCAUGUUUGGUGAAGAGCAAUAUGAUACAAUUUUGAUUCUUUAGAUCCUUGAUUUUAGCUUAUUAUAUGCUUAUGUAUUUUCUCUUUUCUGAUAUUGGUGUCCAGGUAUAGUUGCGUAGUUUCGUGGCAGAGGAGAAUUGUGGAUCCUUCCAAUGAAGGCCUCUUUUCUUUAGUCCGAGGAGAAUUGCGGAUCCUUUUCUAAGGUUUACCGUCUCAAUAUUUUAUCACUUUGAAUUUUUUGUCUGUGGCGUUUCUCACUUUUUCAAAGUCUUAUAUUUUUCUUUUGAUGGUGUGUUGUCGUGACUCUAUACUCUAAGGCUAUGUUGUUGUUUUUAUUUGUUUGUUUGUUUAGAAGUUUUAGAUUUUUAAUUUAAGGUUUGAAUGAAAAUUGGAGGAUUUAAGAGUGGAAUUAUACUCUCUCAUUCCACAGAUUGAUUAAGCAAUCAAAAACUCACCAAAUGCACAUAGGAUUGAAAAAUUAUUUUUUGAUACUCAAAUGACUGUUCCAAAAUGUUAUAGAGGGAACUUUGCAUCUAAUAUGUAGAGUACCAACUCGAAUAUGAAAGUCAAAGGGAUCAAAUAUGAAUGAUACUCUGAAUAGCUCUGAAUCAUAUAGUUGUAAUGAGGUAUAUGAUCAAGCUAUAUUUAUCGAAUUUGGAGAUGGAUGUUUGUUGUCCCCCCAUUCUUUAGUCCCAAUUCCCCUAAACAAAGGGCUGACAUAGAACCAAAUUUUUGUGUUGUUGGUUCUCUCCAAAGUAUUACAUUCUUGUAGAUAGCCUUCGGUUAAAUGAAAGAGGCCGGGUUGGCAUUCCAUAACUAUGAAGGGAUUUUUGUUUCUCAAGUAUUGCAAGUUCAUAAUCUGAUUGUACUUUAUCUUGAACUCAUAUAAGAUGUUAUGUCUACAAACUAAUUACUAUUACUCCAUUGCUAACUAUGCCGAUGUUAAUAAAUCCAUUUUGUUCCAAAGAGGGCUAUUCCUCCUUCCAGAUCUCAAUUGUCAGGAAACCAUUCAUUGCAUAAUUGUAUCUGAAUAGUUAUUUAUGCUAUUGUUCCCUUUCCCCCAAUAAAUAGUUGUCAACUUGGCAUGAAGUCUCGUAUCAUUUAAAAAAAAAAAGUAAAGCACCAAGAACCUGAAUCCAUAAACUAAUGAAGGUAAUUUUGAAAUGUAUGGUUUUGAUUGUGUCAUAUCCACGAUCUAACUUAUGUUGCUUGGAUCCUCCAAAAUGUUGUUGCACCUGUGUUAUAUUGUCAAAGUAUUAUUAACUUUAUCAAUUCUUGAGUCUUGACAGUUGUACACGGUGAAUUAUAUAUUGUAACACGUGUCCCUUUUCCUUCAAAGGAAAGGAAGUUACGCUUUUUCUUCCAAUGGCAAGGAAGUGUUUCAUUCCUUUUCAUCUAGGCUGUUGUGAAAAGUGCCAAAAUCUCCAACGGUGAACUCUGAAUGUGAUAUUUGUUUUUCUUAAAGUUGUUUCUCUAAGAUCUGUGUUUCAAUGCAAGUGCUGACGGUUGGGAAUAGUCUAUUUAUGAAAUUUUGUAUGGAAUGAAGCUUAUGGUUUGUAUAUCUGCCAUAGGGUAAAAUUGUUGCCAAGAUGAGCGAAGAGGUAAUUCAUUUGAACCAUACAACAUAAGUGAGGAUCUUCUAAAACUAGAAGGGCAACAAAAGAACAAAUUUGAUGAUGAAGAGCUAGAGCAUCUUGUUGAGUAAAGAAGGUAACACUAUUUACCUUUUUUCUUAUAGGCCAUCAAGGUUGAGUGAAGAGCUGAAAUAUGAUUCCAAGAAAAGAUUACUUGAUUGGGGUAGUAGAAUUUUUAAUUACAGACAAGAAAAGGGGAUUAUGCUACUAUGUUUGAAUGAAGGUAAUGUUCUUCAUGGUGACUAUUUAGUAUGCGGUAGAUACAGAUUUGCAUAUAUGAUUUUUUUCGCUUAUUAAUUUCUAUUCAAAAUAGAAGGAUUUAGCUUUGACACAAUGUAUUCGAUUUUAAUUCUCGGGAGAGAUGUUGAUAUGGAUUACUUAACGGCUAUUUGCAGGUAUUAAAAUAGCGUGGAUAUGAAUUUCAAGUUCAUUUUGGCAGCACUUAAACCAAUGAAAAAAGUACUUAAAUCAAGGUGCUUUUGGUGUGGUGAGUUCUCUUCUUGGAGCUCAAUUCUCUUGGAGAGCUUUUCGUGAACUUUUUUUUGUUAGUGUUUGGUCUCAACAGUUUUGAAAAAGAGACUGUAUCACCUAUCCUUUGUUGCUAGGAGUUUAAUUCUCUCAGAGAGCUUUUGGAUAACUAUUUUUAUUAGUGUUUAGUCAUAGUAUUGGUCCCAUGUGAAAAUUUAAAAAGUUGGUAUGUUUAAUAUUUUGUUUAAGCGAUUUUAUUAAGAGGAGGUAUUGCAAAGAGAGAAAUUGUUACUUAAUAUGUAUUGUUGAAAAUUAUUGAACCUAUAGAGAAAUGAUUUUACACUGCAAUGCAUAUUUGCACUUUUAGUAUUCAUAUCUUUGAAAUUCCAUCAUACUUCUCACUAUGAUUCACAGAAAUGAUCAUGCUUUAUAUCACGGAGCUUCUUUGUUGAUGUACCAUCAUACGUCUAAUUAAGGAAUGAAGAUGUUUCAUGAUUUUCUCAAUGAACUUAAAAUUGGAGUUUUCUACCGACGACUGGAAAUGCAAUGAUCCUCUGAUUAGCACGGGCCAAGUCUAUCUAGUUUGAAUAGAAGAAUGGAAUGUCCACCCAUAUUUCACUAUGAAAUUUGGAAAUUAAUAGCAAUAAAUAUAAAUUAAAAAAAUAGUCUUUACUCGUUCAUAGUUCUAAUUUCCAAAAGCAUUGCUACAGCAUUAGGGUUUUUCCCGCCCACUCCAUAUAAUACAUACUUAGCAGCAAAUCGAUCAGGCAACAAUUUGCCGGCGAUCGGAAUGGCAGAGGAGGUGGAAUUCCGGUUGUACAAUACAAUAACGAAGUAUGGGGAACUUUUUCAGUCG
This 3254-nucleotide long non-coding RNA is filed under the name Solanum tuberosum (potato). RNAcentral describes it as "long non-coding RNA (STUB_LNC002449)". Lineage: Eukaryota; Viridiplantae; Streptophyta; Magnoliopsida; Solanales; Solanaceae. The record is from RNAcentral.